CAAAACCAAAUCAGCAUCUUUCUUCUUCUCAUUAAUGUCAUGAUGAGCAAUGACGUCAACUUGACCCUUGUUCAUCGUGAAACUCUCUUAUUAUGGAUAAAGCGCACGUGUUUUAAUUCACGAACCUUCGUAAACUUGUGUUACGGAAAAAAAAAAAACACAACUUUCAUAUUUUUCUAAUUUCCCACUACUACUAAAAAAAAAUAUUACAAAAUUGAAAACAUGUAAAAGUUUAUUGUUACUUUUCUAGGUUCAUGAACC
This 261-nucleotide long non-coding RNA is filed under the name Capsella rubella. RNAcentral's name for it is "long non-coding RNA (CRUB_LNC000740)". The record is from RNAcentral. Lineage: Eukaryota; Viridiplantae; Streptophyta; Magnoliopsida; Brassicales; Brassicaceae.